UACGUAGGUGGCAAGCGUUAUCCGGAUUUACUGGGUGUAAAGGGCGCGCAGGCGGUUCCGAAAGUCAGAUGUGAAAGAUCAAGGCUUAACUUUGACAGGUCAUCUGAAACUUUGGGACUUGAGUAUCAGAGGGGAAAGUGGAAUUCCUGGUGGAGCGGUAAAAUGCGCAGAGAUCAGGAGGAACACCGGUGGCGAAGGCGACUUUCUGGCUGACAACUGACGCUGAGGCGCGAAAGCGUGGGGAGCAAACAGGAUUAGAUACUCCGGUA
This 269-nucleotide ribosomal RNA is filed under the name uncultured prokaryote. Its description in RNAcentral is "partial 16S ribosomal RNA". It matches the Rfam family "Bacterial small subunit ribosomal RNA", at positions 524 to 792 of the family's 1533-position model. The record is from RNAcentral.